GAUGAACGCUAGCGAUAGGCUUAACACAUGCAAGUCGAGGGGCAGCACAAGGUCGCUUGCUAUCUGGGUGGCGACCGGCGCACGGGUGCGUAACGCGUAUGCAACUUGCCCUAUACAGGAGGAUAACCCGUCGAAAGACGGACUAAUACUGCGUAUGCUCACAACUUGGCAUCAAGUGGUGAGGAAAGAAAUUCGGUAUAGGAUAGGCAUGCGUCCCAUUAGCUUGUUGGUGAGGUAACGGCUCACCAAGGCAACGAUGGGUAGGGGAACUGAGAGGUUUAUCCCCCACACUGGUACUGAGACACGGACCAGACUCCUACGGGAGGCAGCAGUGAGGAAUAUUGAUCAAUGGGCGCGAGCCUGAACCAGCCAAGUCGCGUGAAGGAUGACUGUCUUAUGGAUUGUAAACUUCUUUUAUACGGGAAUAACAAGAGUCACGUGUGACUCCCUGCAUGUACCGUAUGAAUAAGCAUCGGCUAACUCCGUG
Molecule: ribosomal RNA, 487 nt
Filed under: uncultured bacterium
Lineage: Bacteria
Description: partial 16S ribosomal RNA
Rfam family: Bacterial small subunit ribosomal RNA
Source: RNAcentral